AGCCUGCCCACUGAAUAAUUUUAAAUGGCCGCAGUAUCCUAACUGUGCAAAGGUAGCAUAAUCAUUAGUCUUUUAAUUGAAGGCUGGUAUGAAUGGUUGGACGAGGUAUUAACUGUUUCAAAUAAAUUUAUAAUUGAAUUUUAUUUUUUAGUCAAAAAGCUAAAAUUUUAUUAAAAGACGAGAAGACCCUAUAAAUCUUUACUUUUAAGUUUAUUUUAAUUAUUAAGAUGAAUUUUAUUAUAAUAAAAUUAAAAGUUUUAUUGGGGUGAUAUUAAAAUUUAAUGAACUUUUAAUUUGUAAUGACAUUAAUUAAUGAAUAAUUGAUCCGUUAUUAACGAUUAAAAAUUUAAGUUACUUUAGGGAUAACAGCGUAAUUUUUUUGGAGAGUUCUUAUCGAUAAAAAAGAUUGCGACCUCGAUGUUGGAUUAAGAAAAAUUUUAGGUGUAGUC
Molecule: ribosomal RNA, 449 nt
Filed under: Allosepsis sp. 5 LZ-2013
Lineage: Eukaryota; Metazoa; Arthropoda; Insecta; Diptera; Sepsidae
Description: partial 16S ribosomal RNA
Rfam family: Bacterial large subunit ribosomal RNA
Source: RNAcentral